This 406-nucleotide ribosomal RNA is filed under the name uncultured bacterium. RNAcentral describes it as "partial 16S ribosomal RNA". It matches the Rfam family "Bacterial small subunit ribosomal RNA", at positions 30 to 526 of the family's 1533-position model. The record is from RNAcentral.
AUUGAACGCUGGCGGCAGGCCUAACACAUGCAAGUCGAACGAGUGGCGGACGGGUGAGUAAUGUCUGGGAAAAUGCCCGAUGGAGGGGGAUAACUACUGGAAACGGUAGCUAAUACCGCAUACCAUCGGAUGUGCCCAGAUGGGAUUAGCUAGUAGGUGGGGUAACGGAUCACCUAGGCGACGAUCCCUAGCUGGUCUGAGAGGAUGACCAGACACACUGGACCUGAGACACGGUCCAGACUCCUACGGGAGGCCGCAUUGGGGAAUAUUGCACCAUGGGCGCAAUCCUGAUGCAGCCAUGCCGCGUGUAUGGAGAAGGCCUUCGGGUUGUAAAGUACUUUCAGCGAGGAGGCGUUACUCGCAGAAUAAGCACCGGAUAACUCCGUGCCAGCAGCCGCGGUAAUAC